GCCGCAAUAGCUCAGCUGGUAGAGCACGUCAUUCGUAAUGAUGGGGUCGGGAGUUCGAAUCUCUCUUGCGGCACCA
This 76-nucleotide transfer RNA is filed under the name Rhodoblastus acidophilus. RNAcentral describes it as "tRNA-Thr". It matches the Rfam family "tRNA". Rfam says of the family: Transfer RNA (tRNA) molecules are approximately 80 nucleotides in length. Their secondary structure includes four short double-helical elements and three loops (D, anti-codon, and T loops). The record is from RNAcentral. Lineage: Bacteria; Pseudomonadati; Pseudomonadota; Alphaproteobacteria; Hyphomicrobiales; Rhodoblastaceae. RNAcentral also lists the same sequence under 5 other names.